Molecule: ribosomal RNA, 646 nt
Filed under: Taeniopoda stali
Lineage: Eukaryota; Metazoa; Arthropoda; Insecta; Orthoptera; Romaleidae
Description: eukaryotic LSU rRNA
Rfam family: Eukaryotic large subunit ribosomal RNA (bases 436-646)
Source: RNAcentral
GAUGGGGCCGGCCGCCCGCGCGGAGCAAUCCGCGGCGGGGUCGUGUCCGGUUGCCUUUCCACUCGCCGUGGGGCGGGGCCGUUCCAGCGUGCGGUGGGCCGCACUUCUCCCCUAGUAGGACGUCGCGACCCGCUGGGUGCCGGCCUACGGCCCGGGUGCGCAGCCUGUCCAUCCGCGGGCCUCGGUUCGCGCUUGUUGGGCAGAGCCCCGGUGUCCCGGCUGGCUGCUCGGCGGCAUGUCUGGAGGAGUCGAUUCGCCAAGCUUUGGGCGCCCGUGCUCCUGGCAAGCGCGCGCGGUUCUUCCCGGGUGACGGUCCUACCUGGCCCGGCCCCGGACCCGCGCCGCUGUUGGCUUGGGAUGCUCUCGGGCGGAAUAAUCGCUCCCGUCAGCGGCGCUUCAGCUUUGGACAAUUUCACGACCCGUCUUGAAACACGGACCAAGGAGUCUAACAUGUGCGCGAGUCAUUGGGCUGCACGAAACCUAGAGGCGAAAUGAAAGUGAAGGUCUCGCCUUGCGCGGGCCGAGGGAGGAUGGGGCCCUCCCGCCCUCUGUUUGGGGGGGCGGCGGCCUCCGCACUCCCGGGGCGUCUCGUCCUCAUUGCGAGGUGAGGCGCACCUAGAGCGUACACGUUGGGACCCGAAAGAUG